This is a long non-coding RNA of Equus caballus (horse), 1907 nucleotides long. Lineage: Eukaryota; Metazoa; Chordata; Mammalia; Perissodactyla; Equidae. The record is from Ensembl.
GACUAAGAGGGAAAGUGUAGGAAUCCCCCAAUUCCUCUCCUCCCAAGGUCACUGGCGAGUCCUGGAGGCAGAGGAAAACUAGACUCCUUGCGGAACGGACAGAAGGAGAACAAAGCCAGAGGUGGUGAGCAGGAGAAGGAGGGUCCGCGGCGCGUGCGGUCCGCUCCCAGUCCGCGGGGGCGCGGCGGGAAGGGGGAGCCACUGAACCUGAGCCCCGCCGCCCCCGGCCCCGCACUGGGCUCCGCAGGCGGCUGCACCGGGGCCGCGGGGUGCCGGCUCCAGCCCGCGUGGCGGCGCCUGGCUCUGUGCAAAGCACGCGGCCGCCUCCGCUAACCUCCUCCGCGGCCCAACUUGGAUGGAGUUGGGGUCCCGAGCGCCUGUGCCCCACGGCCAGCCGGCGGAGAGCCCCGCGCCGCCACCUCGGGUCCGGGACUGCCCUCCGCUCCCGGGAUGGGAAAAGUUGGCGCGGCCGGCGGCUCCCGGCCCGGCUGAGCGCGCUCCUCGCCCGCGUGGGUCUCGGUCUAUCGCGCCCCGGGCGCCCGCGGCGGCGGCUCCUGCUGUAUCCCGCGGUCCCAGGGUUGCUACCCCGUGGAUCCCAUCACCAGUCGCUGCGGGGACCGGCUCCUGCUGCUCCUUUCCUUUCUCUUCCCAGAGAAGCCUCGGGAGAGGUGAGCAGGAUCGAGCAGGAGUAGAAUCCGCUUUGGGCAGCGGGAGCCUGGAACUCUGGAGCAAAAGUAAGAAAAAGCCACAGGCUUCCGGGACGGAGGAGCUGAGGCUGACAGCGUGUGAGCAGUGACGAGGAACUUCGCACACAAACGCCGCUCCAUUGGUCUGACCACAACAGCGUUGAUGCCUGCCACAGCAUGGCGUGCCAAGCCGUGCCAUGUCCUCACCUGGGAUCCGAACCGGCGAACCCCAGGCCUCCGAAGCAGAAUGUGCGCACUUAACCGCUGCGCCACUGGGCCGGCCCCUGCAUAUUUUUUAAAGAGCUGUCUCCCUCACUGUCGGAUGAGCUGGAUUCAAGCGUUGGCUGUGCAUGUUGGAGAAUUUGCUAUUGAUGAGGCAUCUGUGCAGAAGUUUUGCAGACAGAAGAACACUCCCCCGACCCCCCGAUCCUGCCCCAACUUGAAGAGAGAACUCUGGCAUUUCCUCAAUCUGUCUGGCUUAAUUGAUUGUAAACCUUGUUUUCUUUUCUUUUUAUUCCACUUUUUUUCCUGAUUAUGGAAGCAAUACAUAUUAAUGCUAUAAAUAUCAAGCAAUGUAAAUUAUAGAAUCUAAUGUGACAGUCACCCAUGAUUAAGCCGCCACCUAUAGAUAACCACCAUUCACUAGUAUAUAGUUUUCCUUUGAUGAUUUCAAGAACAUAUUGAAGGAUUGUGUAUGUAUUUAUAAAAUAACGUUUAAAUACACAGCCAUGCACAUGCACAGAAAUCAGUCCAUACAAUGCAUAUUAUGAAACUUGCCUUUGUUCCCUGACAAUAGAUUUGUCAUUUUUUCUAUCAAUCCAUGCAGCUCUACCUCAUCCUUUUUUUUUUUUUUAAGUAACAGAUUUUAUUUUUUAGGGAAGUUUUAGAGUUACAGAAAAAUUGAGUGGAAAGAACAGAGUACCCACAUAACUGCUCUGCUCCUCACACACACACAGCCUCCCCCACAUUCAACAUCCCACAGUGUAGUGAUACACUUGUUACAAUCCAUGAAAAGACAUUGACACAGCAUUAUCCACCACUCAUUGUGUUGUGUAUUCUGUGGGUUUUGAUAAAUGUAUAAUGACAUGUACUCACUAUUAUCACAUCCUACAGAAUAGUUUCUCUGCCCUAAAGAACCUCUGUGCUCUACCUAUUUAUCCCAUCUUCCCCUGAACUCCUGGAAACCACUGAUCUUGCUAUUGUCUUCAUAAUUUUGCCCUU